CCUACGGGAGGCAGCAGUGGGGAAUCUUGCACAAUGGAGGAAACUCUGAUGCAGCGAUGCCGCGUGAGUGAAGAAGGCCUUUGGGUUGUAAAGCUCUUUUGUAGGGGAAGAUAAUGACUGUACCCUAAGAAUAAGGUCCGGCUAACUUCGUGCCAGCAGCCGCGGUAAUACGAAGGGACCUAGCGUAGUUCGGAAUUACUGGGCGUAAAGCGCGCGUAGGCCGUUGAGUUAGUUAAUUGUGAAAUCCCAAAGCUUAACUUUGGAACUGCAAUUAAAACUGCUCGACUAGAGUUUGAUAGAGGAAAGCGGAAUACAUAGUGUAGAGGUGAAAUUCGUAGAUAUUAUGUAGAACACCAGUUGCGAAGGCGGCUUUCUGGAUCAACACUGACGCUGAGGCGCGAAAGUAUGGGUAGCAAAGAGGAUUAGAUACCCUCGUAGUCCAUACCAUAAACGAUGAUUGCUAGAUGUUGGAAAUUUAUUUUCAGUAUCGCAGCUAACGCAUUAAGCAAUCCGCCUGGGGAUACGACCGCAAGGUUAAAACUCAAAUGAAUUGACGGNNGAGAGNGCGAGACGACACGAGGAGAG
Molecule: ribosomal RNA, 585 nt
Filed under: uncultured bacterium
Lineage: Bacteria
Description: bacterial SSU rRNA
Rfam family: Bacterial small subunit ribosomal RNA
Source: RNAcentral